CUAGAAACCCCACAGGAGGGAAGGAUGGGGAGCGGGGUCUGGCUGGCACUCUUCCUUCCUCUUCCCCCUCACCUGCUGCUUUGCCCUGAAGCAGCAGGUGCCCUGCCCCCUGUCCUGUCCUUUUUGGGGCGCUAGGUGUCAGGUCAGAUGUCAUACUCCAUAUGCUGUUGUAAAGCAGCCAUCAAUGCCAUCAGUGAGUGGAACUUCGUUCCGGCUUUCAUGGGGGUCUCUGCGUGACGAAUCUUCUGGAUGUGGGCUGCCUACUCUCUGACGCCCUCAUAGGACCUUCCUUUUGAUCCUGUUCCUCAGGAUACUCCACAAGUGGCCAACAUGGUACCAUCAAGACAUCUUGAGCCUGGCUCCCUGCCACGGCAUAUGUGGCUCACAGGAGGUCUUGUUACAUCAGAAUGAGGUAGUGUGGGUUGCUCGCUGCCACCCUCUCCCCUCACCUUAGUGUAGAGGGCCGCCCUGGCCCACCUCCUGCCUCCAGAGUUUCUCCAGGUGAGAAGUGGACCGUCACAGGCAUAUGCGAAGCCUUGCUGAAACCCCUCUGUGGCUUCCUACGGCCAGCGCCUGUGACUCUCAUCUUGAGGGUUUUCUCUGGUGUUGAUAGUGUGGCUGCAUGUGUUAGGGGAGUUGACACCCUGGAGCAGCCCUCAACCGAAGAUGGACAGGAGUUGGUGGGAGAGUUCACCGAGGCCCUGGCGCAUCGAUCCAUAGGGAACUACCGGUAUUCGAUGAUUGGAGACUGGACAGAGAUGGCAGCUUCGCACGGUUCAGC
RNAcentral lists this long non-coding RNA (781 nucleotides) under Equus caballus (horse). RNAcentral describes it as "lncRNA (ENSECAG00000047957.1)". The record is from RNAcentral. Lineage: Eukaryota; Metazoa; Chordata; Mammalia; Perissodactyla; Equidae.